UCUUAUCUUGAUGUCCUGACUGACAACA
This 28-nucleotide non-coding RNA is filed under the name Rattus norvegicus (Norway rat). The record is from RNAcentral. Lineage: Eukaryota; Metazoa; Chordata; Mammalia; Rodentia; Muridae.